This 2923-nucleotide ribosomal RNA is filed under the name Staphylococcus aureus. RNAcentral's name for it is "23S ribosomal RNA". It matches the Rfam family "Bacterial large subunit ribosomal RNA". The record is from RNAcentral. Lineage: Bacteria; Bacillati; Bacillota; Bacilli; Caryophanales; Staphylococcaceae.
GAUUAAGUUAUUAAGGGCGCACGGUGGAUGCCUUGGCACUAGAAGCCGAUGAAGGACGUUACUAACGACGAUAUGCUUUGGGGAGCUGUAAGUAAGCUUUGAUCCAGAGAUUUCCGAAUGGGGAAACCCAGCAUGAGUUAUGUCAUGUUAUCGAUAUGUGAAUACAUAGCAUAUCAGAAGGCACACCCGGAGAACUGAAACAUCUUAGUACCCGGAGGAAGAGAAAGAAAAUUCGAUUCCCUUAGUAGCGGCGAGCGAAACGGGAAGAGCCCAAACCAACAAGCUUGCUUGUUGGGGUUGUAGGACACUCUAUACGGAGUUACAAAGGACGACAUUAGACGAAUCAUCUGGAAAGAUGAAUCAAAGAAGGUAAUAAUCCUGUAGUCGAAAAUGUUGUCUCUCUUGAGUGGAUCCUGAGUACGACGGAGCACGUGAAAUUCCGUCGGAAUCUGGGAGGACCAUCUCCUAAGGCUAAAUACUCUCUAGUGACCGAUAGUGAACCAGUACCGUGAGGGAAAGGUGAAAAGCACCCCGGAAGGGGAGUGAAAUAGAACCUGAAACCGUGUGCUUACAAGUAGUCAGAGCCCGUUAAUGGGUGAUGGCGUGCCUUUUGUAGAAUGAACCGGCGAGUUACGAUUUGAUGCAAGGUUAAGCAGUAAAUGUGGAGCCGUAGCGAAAGCGAGUCUGAAUAGGGCGUUUAGUAUUUGGUCGUAGACCCGAAACCAGGUGAUCUACCCUUGGUCAGGUUGAAGUUCAGGUAACACUGAAUGGAGGACCGAACCGACUUACGUUGAAAAGUGAGCGGAUGAACUGAGGGUAGCGGAGAAAUUCCAAUCGAACCUGGAGAUAGCUGGUUCUCUCCGAAAUAGCUUUAGGGCUAGCCUCAAGUGAUGAUUAUUGGAGGUAGAGCACUGUUUGGACGAGGGGCCCCUCUCGGGUUACCGAAUUCAGACAAACUCCGAAUGCCAAUUAAUUUAACUUGGGAGUCAGAACAUGGGUGAUAAGGUCCGUGUUCGAAAGGGAAACAGCCCAGACCACCAGCUAAGGUCCCAAAAUAUAUGUUAAGUGGAAAAGGAUGUGGCGUUGCCCAGACAACUAGGAUGUUGGCUUAGAAGCAGCCAUCAUUUAAAGAGUGCGUAAUAGCUCACUAGUCGAGUGACACUGCGCCGAAAAUGUACCGGGGCUAAACAUAUUACCGAAGCUGUGGAUUGUCCUUUGGACAAUGGUAGGAGAGCGUUCUAAGGGCGUUGAAGCAUGAUCGUAAGGACAUGUGGAGCGCUUAGAAGUGAGAAUGCCGGUGUGAGUAGCGAAAGACGGGUGAGAAUCCCGUCCACCGAUUGACUAAGGUUUCCAGAGGAAGGCUCGUCCGCUCUGGGUUAGUCGGGUCCUAAGCUGAGGCCGACAGGCGUAGGCGAUGGAUAACAGGUUGAUAUUCCUGUACCACCUAUAAUCGUUUUAAUCGAUGGGGGGACGCAGUAGGAUAGGCGAAGCGUGCGAUUGGAUUGCACGUCUAAGCAGUAAGGCUGAGUAUUAGGCAAAUCCGGUACUCGUUAAGGCUGAGCUGUGAUGGGGAGAAGACAUUGUGUCUUCGAGUCGUUGAUUUCACACUGCCGAGAAAAGCCUCUAGAUAGAAAAUAGGUGCCCGUACCGCAAACCGACACAGGUAGUCAAGAUGAGAAUUCUAAGGUGAGCGAGCGAACUCUCGUUAAGGAACUCGGCAAAAUGACCCCGUAACUUCGGGAGAAGGGGUGCUCUUUAGGGUUAACGCCCAGAAGAGCCGCAGUGAAUAGGCCCAAGCGACUGUUUAUCAAAAACACAGGUCUCUGCUAAACCGUAAGGUGAUGUAUAGGGGCUGACGCCUGCCCGGUGCUGGAAGGUUAAGAGGAGUGGUUAGCUUCUGCGAAGCUACGAAUCGAAGCCCCAGUAAACGGCGGCCGUAACUAUAACGGUCCUAAGGUAGCGAAAUUCCUUGUCGGGUAAGUUCCGACCCGCACGAAAGGCGUAACGAUUUGGGCACUGUCUCAACGAGAGACUCGGUGAAAUCAUAGUACCUGUGAAGAUGCAGGUUACCCGCGACAGGACGGAAAGACCCCGUGGAGCUUUACUGUAGCCUGAUAUUGAAAUUCGGCACAGCUUGUACAGGAUAGGUAGGAGCCUUUGAAACGUGAGCGCUAGCUUACGUGGAGGCGCUGGUGGGAUACUACCCUAGCUGUGUUGGCUUUCUAACCCGCACCACUUAUCGUGGUGGGAGACAGUGUCAGGCGGGCAGUUUGACUGGGGCGGUCGCCUCCUAAAAGGUAACGGAGGCGCUCAAAGGUUCCCUCAGAAUGGUUGGAAAUCAUUCAUAGAGUGUAAAGGCAUAAGGGAGCUUGACUGCGAGACCUACAAGUCAAGCAGGGUCGAAAGACGGACUUAGUGAUCCGGUGGUUCCGCAUGGAAGGGCCAUCGCUCAACGGAUAAAAGCUACCCCGGGGAUAACAGGCUUAUCUCCCCCAAGAGUUCACAUCGACGGGGAGGUUUGGCACCUCGAUGUCGGCUCAUCGCAUCCUGGGGCUGUAGUCGGUCCCAAGGGUUGGGCUGUUCGCCCAUUAAAGCGGUACGCGAGCUGGGUUCAGAACGUCGUGAGACAGUUCGGUCCCUAUCCGUCGUGGGCGUAGGAAAUUUGAGAGGAGCUGUCCUUAGUACGAGAGGACCGGGAUGGACAUACCUCUGGUGUACCAGUUGUCGUGCCAACGGCAUAGCUGGGUAGCUAUGUGUGGACGGGAUAAGUGCUGAAAGCAUCUAAGCAUGAAGCCCCCCUCAAGAUGAGAUUUCCCAACUUCGGUUAUAAGAUCCCUCAAAGAUGAUGAGGUUAAUAGGUUCGAGGUGGAAGCAUGGUGACAUGUGGAGCUGACGAAUACUAAUCGAUCGAAGACUUAAUCAA